Molecule: long non-coding RNA, 2935 nt
Organism: Passer domesticus (house sparrow)
Lineage: Eukaryota; Metazoa; Chordata; Aves; Passeriformes; Passeridae
Exons: 3
Source: RefSeq, a predicted model, not a curated record
GCAUGGCACAGUGAGAAGAGAACCUCAUUUCUCUUCAAGGACAUCGUACUUCCUAAAUGAUCUCAGGCAGCCUCCACACUGCUGCAGCACCCUGACCUCACAAAUGCCUUCCAAAGGCUGCAGCCUAGUGCUUUGGCCUGUGCUGCCUUCUCGUGCUUGCCUCUCCCCACACCUCUCACUGACUCUCCUCCUUACAUCAGUGUUUGGCGCAGGUCUGGGCACAGCAGCACUGCCCAGCACCAAGAGGUGCUGGGAGCCAACAUGCCUGAGCAAGCCCAGGGGGAGCAAGAGGAAGGAGGAGCCCCCCCAGCAGAAGAGCAGAGCAGGGAUGCCAAUCUUAGCAGGCAGCAAACACAAUUUGGCCAAACCUAACUACCCCACCUGCAAUCCCAGUUUCAGUGGGCUGCUGACUUCAGACUUCAUAGGAAACUAAUUGUUGUGAACGAUGCUGUUCUGCUUUAUCCUCAUUAACAUCACUUGCUUGUUUUUUCAAAAGCAGAGAUGCUAACUAUCACUUCUGCUCAGGGCUGUGUAACACAACUAGAGGCUUUCCUUUUCCACACUGAGAAGCACCUUACAGGAAAGAUUUUAGCUGUCUGUACUUAGGAAAGUAAGCUUUAGUCCUUUCCCUUUAGCAUCUCCACCACACAAAAACUACACAGGUUAGAGCCCUUCUUCUAAAAAUUCAGAUGUUAAUUAACAGUGAAAGGGCAGUGUUAAUAACUUUGCUGUUUUUAAGCUUGCUGAGAUCAUACUCCAUAUAGCAAUGAAAGAGGAAAUGUAAACAACCAACAGCAAGAAAUAAGCUAAAACUGUCUGUGGAUCAGUGAAAAAAGGAAAAAUUGAUGAACAAUGCAGGAACAAUUAAUCGGGCUAUUGAGUUGUAUGUACAGACAUGACUGUAGACAGGGUGCAUAUUUUUGCCACACACAAAUGUGUGGUGAGUUGGAGUUUCUCAUUUGCCUUCUGCCAUGUUCAUUUAUGUAGUCUGCUCCCACGGCCUCACCAAGAGCAGUGCUCUCCAACAGCCUGCACUGUCUCCUGGGGAAGGAGAAGCCUACCUUUGGACCAAAUAAGAGUUCACCAUUUUUUUCUGGGUAUUUUUGGAAGUAAAUAAAGGGCAUUUCUACUAGAAACAGUUUUAUCCCAGGAUGGAAGAUGGUACAACACAAAACUAUACAGUGCCAUUUGCAUUUUAAACUCAACAGUUUCAAGAUCAAUCUUCUUCAGCUAUUCAAAAAUAUUCAAAAACAUGCUGAGUGGAGGCAAAGCUUAUACUUCAACACACUACUUCUGAUAUUUGAGAGGUUCAGCACAGACACUAUCCCAUAAACUUUCCAGCAUCAUAUUUAUGAGCACACGGACACAUUUAUUUCUUUGGAUAGAAAACAUGGAAUAGAUGACCAUCACAUCACUGGUGAAAACUGCUAUGUCAUAAAAUAGCCCAUAGCUACUGGAAUUUAUAAGUUCCUGUAACCAAGUAACAUGUGCCAAGCCAGGCAAUCCUGAUGAAUUACAUUAGAAGCCUAUAGAAUUCUCAGAAAUAAUUAAUUUGCUCAGUGUUGCAUCUGCACAAAGACAUACAUACACUCACACUUCUGAAGGAAAAUAAAUUCUGACUUCUUACGUUCACGAAUUUCCCCUUGAGGAUACACCUGAAGAACAUGAAGGACAACCAAACAAAAAAGCAACAGAAUACAGGCAGCAAACUAAACUAGGUCCUCAGGCUCUCACAGGAAACCCCUAUGCCUCCAUUUUACACUCUGCCACAGCUGUAGAUCUACAUCAACCCCAGAGGGAAGCUCCAAAACCUGGAGAUUUCUGGUAGAGAUGAGGAGCUCUCAACUCCCUGACAUGGAGCUCAGCUUUGCACAUGGGACAUUCAGCAACAACAUAAGAGCUUUUUUUACUCAGUCUCACAAGGACAGGUUUUGCCCUGCAGGGCUACAGGGACAUAACCUACCCAACAAUGUGCCACAGCAAACUCCUGACCUGGUCACCAGAAGUGCCAAAAGGCACAGUGCUGUCCUUCGGAUGCUUCUGCUGCAGCAGAGAUCCUGGAACAACGCAGCAUUAGGGGGCCACCCAGUUUGGCUGCACACAGAGAAGGGAAACGAGCUACAUUCCCACCAUUUUCAAAAGGUUUUACUCCAGAUCUUCAUUUCUCCUCAUCGCACAAGAUUUUGAACAUUUACGAUGAAGUUAUCGAUGUGCCACAGUCAGCAAAGGAAGACUUGCAGCACAGAGCUAUUGCUCAGUUAAUAACCCAACAGCGAGGAGAAAAAAACCUCUGAAUUUAGCAUGGCUGAUGUAAGCUGUGAUGUCAUUUCCACACAUAGGCUAGUGAAAAAAAAAUUAUUUUUUUUUUCAGAUCCAAGAUACAGAGAUAUGUAAAUUGCUUGGCUUCCAUUUCAAAUAAAUAGUGUGAGAUAACCCCAAAACUUAAUAAUGCUUUCAGCCUUCACUCCUGCUCUUCAGAAGACUCAAAGCCUUCGACAGGAUCAGCUCACUGGGAGAGCAGUGUGCCAAACCACUUGUACAGGCACGCACCCUCAGCACCGUCCCACCCAGCAGUGCCAGCACAGUCUGGUUCUCACUCUUCAACAAGAUGUUUGGUUUGGGCUUUUUUUUUAUUUUGGAGGAAGUAAUUUUAAAGAAAGAAUAGGAAAAAAAAAUUUUGCUCUAACAGCUGUAAAGGAUUUUUUGGCAUAAUUAUGGGCAAAAUUAACUAUUCUCUAAGGACAGAUUAAACAAGCCAAGCAAAACAGGUCAGAAGAUCAGAGAGAAAGGACAUCUUAGAAUUAUGAAAGAUGCUCAGCUAAAUUAACAAAAAAAAAAAAAAAGGCACCAACAAAAAAAAACCCUUCAGCCAAAUUGAAGAAACUGCUGAAAGAACAAUUUGAAGGUACAAAGAAAUUCACUUACUAAAUUUGGG